Long non-coding RNA from Columba livia (rock pigeon), 907 nucleotides. RefSeq lists it as uncharacterized. The transcript is spliced from 2 exons. The record is from RefSeq and is a predicted model, not a curated record. Lineage: Eukaryota; Metazoa; Chordata; Aves; Columbiformes; Columbidae.
GACGGCACCCCUCGGCCAAUGGAUUAAGGGAAAUCAAGCGGAGGGACUCGCAGGUAGUCCACGAGAGUACUCCUUUUUAAUUGGUCAUGAGCCACUUGAGAGGCAGGCCGAUCGUCCAACCAAAAGAGCAACAACAGCUCCCAAAACAAGAGCGGGAGCCAGUGAGAAGAAAGAGAGAGGGGCGUUGCUAUGGGCGCCUCGCUUUCACUGGUCAGGCUUUGAGGACGGGUUAUAAGUAAGCGAGUUAGCCAGUAAGACUGUGGCACACGCGGUGACGGACGGGCGGAGCAGCCAAUCCCCGUGUGUUUAUAGGCAGCGCUGGGCGGGAAGCUGUCAGCGGGACGGGCACCGCGACGGGUCCGGGAAGCGCAGGGAUCGUUGUCCUCUCGUACUGCGGGUCCCGCCGGCUCUUCGCCCUAAAACCGGAGCAGCGCCGCAGCCAGUGCCGACAGCAACGCUCACCCCUCCGCUCGGGCAGCCGUUGACAGCCGGCAGGGGAGCACCCGGCUUCAGAGCGACCGUACCUGGGCUCCGUGGCAGCGCCGCUGCUGUUCUCACCUCCGCUCUGCCCCACAGGACUCACCCCUCUCCUCCUCACUCCAGCUCUCACGACUUCAGCAUUUAACUCAAACUCGUCCUUGAUUUUCCAGCCGCCUGCACCCCACUCGAGCUCAAUCCAAAAUGUGUUCGAGGGAAUUUCAUGUUGGAAACAUCAGCACCAGCUCUACAAAUAAUAUUGAAUGAAGAUUUACAGUUGGAUUAAAAUCUCCAGUCUGCAGUAUAUUGAUUAAUUUAGUCUCAGAAUUUCACCCAAUUCUACAGCAAAACUUUGAAAAUUUACCUGGAAAAAAAAUAUAUACAAUAAUGUCUGCACUGGUAAAAGAUUAAAAGUAUUUUGCAUGGGAAA